Molecule: transfer RNA, 73 nt
Filed under: Cellulomonas hominis
Lineage: Bacteria; Bacillati; Actinomycetota; Actinomycetes; Micrococcales; Cellulomonadaceae
Rfam family: tRNA
About the family: Transfer RNA (tRNA) molecules are approximately 80 nucleotides in length. Their secondary structure includes four short double-helical elements and three loops (D, anti-codon, and T loops). Further hydrogen bonds mediate the characteristic L-shaped molecular structure. tRNAs have two regions of fundamental functional importance: the anti-codon, which is responsible for specific mRNA codon recognition, and the 3' end, to which the tRNAs corresponding amino acid is attached (by aminoacyl-tRNA synthetases). tRNAs cope with the degeneracy of the genetic code in two manners: having more than one tRNA (with a specific anti-codon) for a particular amino acid; and 'wobble' base-pairing, i.e. permitting non-standard base-pairing at the 3rd anti-codon position.
Source: Rfam by way of RNAcentral
AGGGAUGUAGCUCAGCAGGCAGAGCGCCGGUCUCCAAAACCGAAGGUCGGGGGUUCGAUUCCCCCCAUCCCUG